GACGAACGCUGGCGGCGUGCUUAACACAUGCAAGUCGAACGCUGAAGACCUGGCUUUUGUUGGGUUGGAUGAGUGGCGAACGGGUGAGUAACACGUGAGUAACCUGCCCUCUUCUUUGGGAUAACGCCCGGAAACGGGUGCUAAUACUGGAUAUUCACUGAUCUUCGCAUGGGGGUUGGUGGAAAGGUUUGUUCUGGUGGGGGAUGGGCUCGCGGCCUAUCAGCUUGUUGGUGGGGUGAUGGCCUACCAAGGCUUUGACGGGUAGCUGGCCUGAGAGGGUGACCGGUCACAUUGGGACUGAGAUACGGCCCAGACUCCUACGGGAGGCAGCAGUGGGGAAUAUUGCACAAUGGGCGAAAGCCUGAUGCAGCGACGCCGCGUGAGGGAUGGAGGCCUUCGGGUUGUAAACCUCUUUCGCUCAUGGUCAAGCCGCAACUGUGGGUUGUGGUGAGGGUAGUGGGUAAAGAAGCGCCGGCUAACUACGUG
Molecule: ribosomal RNA, 486 nt
Filed under: uncultured bacterium
Lineage: Bacteria
Description: partial 16S ribosomal RNA
Rfam family: Bacterial small subunit ribosomal RNA
Source: RNAcentral